This 486-nucleotide ribosomal RNA is filed under the name uncultured bacterium. RNAcentral describes it as "bacterial SSU rRNA". It matches the Rfam family "Bacterial small subunit ribosomal RNA", at positions 28 to 507 of the family's 1533-position model. The record is from RNAcentral.
GAUGAACGCUAGCGGAGGCUUAAUACAUGCAAGUCGAGCGGCAAGUUUUGAUAGCAAUAUUGGAACCUAGAGCGGCGCACGGGUGAGUAACGCGUACAUGACCUGCCCUAUACUGGGGGAUAGUCUUGGGAAACUGAGAAUAAUCCCGCAUGUGAUUAGAAUGCUGCAUGGACAAAUUAAUUAAAGCUGAGGCGGUAUAGGAUGGGUGUGCGUCUGAUUAGCUAGUUGGUAGUGUAACGGACUACCAAGGCGAUGAUCAGUAGGGGGCGUGAGAGCGUGACCCCCCACACGGGUACUGAGACACGGACCCGACUCCUACGGGAGGCAGCAGUAAGGAAUAUUGGUCAAUGGAGGGAACUCUGAACCAGCCAUCCCGCGUGAAGGAUGAAGGGGCUCUGCCUUGUAAACUUCUUUUGCAUGGGACGAAAAAACUUAAUUUAUUAAGGACUGACGGUACCAUGAGAAUAAGCACCGGCUAACUCCGUG